GACUUGGCUGUGCUGGGUUAAUGGCUGGACUCAUUGAUCUUAAAGAUCUUUCCCAACCUAAAAUGACACUAUGGUUUUAUGCCACCCCACAGAAGACACCCUAGAUUACCUGUACACAUCAGCCCAGCUAGAAACCCAUUAUGGAGUUUAUUAAAAAGGGAUAAGAUGUAGACUUAGGUAGAGCGCCAGAGCUGUGUGUGGGGCAGAGCUUUAGCAUGGAGCUGUAGCUCUCAGUGUUGCUGUGGACAGACAUGGGACCAUACUGCUGAAUCCACCACAGCUCCAGUUACUGACUCUUUCCACUGCUGCACUUUUACAUCUGCCUUCAGCUGCUGUGAUUGAAGCAAACUGACACAAAAAUGUAGCUCCUGAUCUCCAAUUUACCUCUUCAGCCCCCUUCUGCCUCCUAACACUGAACCUCUCCAGGCCCCAAGAUGAGUAGUAAUCAUGGUGCUAUUAAUGUGACAGCCAGCAGCCUCCUCUUACUUCACCCAACCUUGCAUGGAUUCCUUGAUAUUAGACGUAAAGCUUCAGAUCAA
Long non-coding RNA from Pezoporus occidentalis (night parrot), 539 nucleotides. RefSeq lists it as uncharacterized. The transcript has 3 exons. NCBI's taxonomy places the organism in Eukaryota, Metazoa, Chordata, Aves, Psittaciformes, Psittacidae. The record is from RefSeq and is a predicted model, not a curated record.